This 73-nucleotide transfer RNA is filed under the name Candidatus Kaiserbacteria bacterium. RNAcentral's name for it is "tRNA-Val". It matches the Rfam family "tRNA". From Rfam's summary of the family: Transfer RNA (tRNA) molecules are approximately 80 nucleotides in length. Their secondary structure includes four short double-helical elements and three loops (D, anti-codon, and T loops). Further hydrogen bonds mediate the characteristic L-shaped molecular structure. tRNAs have two regions of fundamental functional importance: the anti-codon, which is responsible for specific mRNA codon recognition, and the 3' end, to which the tRNAs corresponding amino acid is attached (by aminoacyl-tRNA synthetases). tRNAs cope with the degeneracy of the genetic code in two manners: having more than one tRNA (with a specific anti-codon) for a particular amino acid; and 'wobble' base-pairing, i.e. permitting non-standard base-pairing at the 3rd anti-codon position. RNAcentral also lists the same sequence under 2 other names. Lineage: Bacteria; Candidatus Kaiseribacteriota. The record is from RNAcentral.
GAGCGAUUAGCUCAGCUGGUAGAGCGCUACAUUGACAUUGUAGAGGUCACAGGUUCAAGUCCUGUAUCGCUCA